This 24-nucleotide non-coding RNA is filed under the name Arabidopsis thaliana (thale cress). The record is from RNAcentral. Lineage: Eukaryota; Viridiplantae; Streptophyta; Magnoliopsida; Brassicales; Brassicaceae.
GCAUAUAUGUGACAGUUUUGGCCC